This 230-nucleotide non-coding RNA is filed under the name Mus musculus (house mouse). Its description in RNAcentral is "Eukaryotic large subunit ribosomal RNA". It matches the Rfam family "Eukaryotic large subunit ribosomal RNA", at positions 2427 to 2598 of the family's 3401-position model. Lineage: Eukaryota; Metazoa; Chordata; Mammalia; Rodentia; Muridae. The record is from Rfam by way of RNAcentral.
UCUAGUCUGGCACGGUGAAGAGACAUGAGAGGUGUAGAAUAAGUGGGAGGCCCCCGGCGCCCGGCUCCGUCCUCGCGUCGGGGUCGGGGCACGCCGGCCUCGCGGGCCGCCGGUGAAAUACCACUACUCUCAUCGUUUUUUCACUGACCCGGUGAGGCGGGGGGGGGGGGCGAGCCCAGAGGGGCUCUCGCUUCUGGCGCCAAGCGCCCGUCCCGCGCGUUAGAUGCAGA